Cercocebus atys (sooty mangabey) is the source of this 588-nucleotide long non-coding RNA. RefSeq lists it as uncharacterized. The transcript is spliced from 2 exons. The record is from RefSeq and is a predicted model, not a curated record. Lineage: Eukaryota; Metazoa; Chordata; Mammalia; Primates; Cercopithecidae.
AGAGAGAUGAUUGUAUCUGGCAGAAGAAAUUUCUAAGCAGCAAAACAUUCAAGACUUGGCUUGGCUGCUUCUAACAGUGUAUGCUCAUAUGCAGGAACAAAGGGAUUAUCUGAAACUGAAAUUUAUAUUCAAAAAAGAAGCAGAGUGGGGGAGAGGCCAAGAUGGCCGAGUAGAAACAGCUCCGGUCUGCUGCUCCCACAGUGACAAACGUGAUUUCUGCAUUUCCAGCUGAGGUUCCCAGAUUCUCUCAUUGAGACUGACUAGGUGGUGGGUGCGGCCCACGGAGAGCAAGGAAAAGCAGGACACGGAGACCGUUCACCCAGGAGCUGCAUGGGGCAAAGGGAUCGCCCUCCCCCAGCCGAGCGGGCAGUGAGAGGUUGCGCUACCCGCCCAGAGAACUACGCUUUCCCCAGGGAUUUUUGCAAUCAGCAGAUCAGGAGAUUCGCUCCUGUUCCCACACCACCAGGACCCUGGGUUCCGACCAUAAAGCUGUGCAGGCGACGGCAGCCGUAAGGCUUCCAGGAGCCGUCCUGGCAGCCCAUCAAGACUGGCUGCUGGUGUGGUGCUGACCUAGAGGGCUUCUCCCAG